UAAGGUAUUGACAUCGAACCAUCAUAAAUCUCUUUGCUUAUGUGUAUGUGAUCUUAUUCUCAAGUUAUUUAUUUUUUGCAUUUAUAUUUCUACUUAUUAAUUCACUAUAUUCAUUGCAUACAUUUUCUUGUUCAAUACAUACUUGUCUAAAUUUUUGAAAGUUUUAAGAAAUCCAAUUCACCCUCUCUUUUGGAUUGUAUCUUUAAGCAACACCACUGGUAUGACUAUGGCCAGCGACGGUUGGGACUAUCAUAGUGUAGUCUAAAGAUCCUACAUCGAUGGUCGAUGGUGACCACCUGCACUGAAAAAAUAGAAAGAGGAGGGGC
RNAcentral lists this long non-coding RNA (326 nucleotides) under Elaeis guineensis (African oil palm). RNAcentral describes it as "long non-coding RNA (EGUI_LNC049025)". Lineage: Eukaryota; Viridiplantae; Streptophyta; Magnoliopsida; Arecales; Arecaceae. The record is from RNAcentral.